CAAUCAAAUGAUGAUCAUCACCUUUACAAUUUUCUGGUACCUCUUAUGUUAGGGCUGCUUCGGGAAUCUCGAAGUGGCCCCAUGAAUUCAUCGGACUUCUGAUU
This 104-nucleotide small nucleolar RNA is filed under the name Sporothrix schenckii ATCC 58251. RNAcentral describes it as "A. fumigatus snoRNA Afu_264". It matches the Rfam family "A. fumigatus snoRNA Afu_264". The record is from Rfam by way of RNAcentral. Lineage: Eukaryota; Fungi; Ascomycota; Sordariomycetes; Ophiostomatales; Ophiostomataceae.